GGGAGGAUAGCUCAGCGGUAGAGCGCCGCCCUUACAAGGCGGAUGUCCUGGGUUCGAAUCCCUGUCCUCCCA
RNAcentral lists this transfer RNA (72 nucleotides) under Myxococcales bacterium. RNAcentral's name for it is "tRNA-Val". It matches the Rfam family "tRNA". From Rfam's summary of the family: Transfer RNA (tRNA) molecules are approximately 80 nucleotides in length. Their secondary structure includes four short double-helical elements and three loops (D, anti-codon, and T loops). Lineage: Bacteria; Pseudomonadati; Myxococcota; Myxococcia; Myxococcales. The record is from RNAcentral.